RNAcentral lists this ribosomal RNA (217 nucleotides) under Paenibacillus purispatii. Its description in RNAcentral is "partial 16S ribosomal RNA". It matches the Rfam family "Bacterial small subunit ribosomal RNA", at positions 556 to 773 of the family's 1533-position model. The record is from RNAcentral. Lineage: Bacteria; Bacillati; Bacillota; Bacilli; Caryophanales; Paenibacillaceae.
GGGCGUAAAGCGCGCGCAGGCGGUUCUUUAAGUCUGGUGUUUAAACCUGGGGCUCAACUUCAGGUCGCACUGGAAACUGGGGAACUUGAGUGCAGAAGAGGAGAGUGGAAUUCCACGUGUAGCGGUGAAAUGCGUAGAUAUGUGGAGGAACACCAGUGGCGAAGGCGACUCUCUGGGCUGUAACUGACGCUGAGGCGCGAAAGCGUGGGGAGCAAAC